Molecule: ribosomal RNA, 465 nt
Filed under: uncultured bacterium
Lineage: Bacteria
Description: partial 16S ribosomal RNA
Rfam family: Bacterial small subunit ribosomal RNA
Source: RNAcentral
GACGAACGCUGGCGGCGUGCUUAACACAUGCAAGUCGAACGGAAAGGCCCCUUUGGGGGUACUCGAGUGGCGAACGGGUGAGUAACACGUGAGUAACCUGCCCUUGACUUCGGGAUAACUUCAGGAAACUGGGGCUAAUACCGGAUAGGAAUCCUUGCUGCAUGGUGGGGGUUGGAAAGCUUCGGCGGUUUUGGAUGGACUCGCGGCUUAUCAGCUUGUUGGUGGGGUAGUGGCUUACCAAGGCUUUGACGGGUAGCCGGCCUGAGAGGGCGACCGGCCACAUUGAGACUGAGAUACGGCCCAGACUCCGACGGGAGGCAGCAGUGGGGAAGAUUGCACAAUGGGCGGAAGCCUGAUGCAGCAACGCCGCGUGCGGGAUGACGGCCUUCGGGUUGUAAACCGCUUUCAGCAGGGGCGAAGCUUGUGGUGACGGUACCUGCAGAAGAAGCACCGGCUAACUACGUG